AUGACUUAGUAGUCAUCUUGUUUCAAUUCCUAGAACUUUCAAGAAAGUUGGAGAAAGAAAGAAGGGAAAAAAAUAAGAGAGGAAAAUCGGCAUAGCUAGGGAUUUUAUCCCUUGAAAUCUUGUUCCAAAAAUUAUCUUUUCUAGUAUUCCAAGCAAGUUGAAGGCUCUAAUCAACAUAGAGGGAUUGUUGGGACAAGAAGACUAUUCAUUCUUGCAAGGCACAAUUCUAGCCAAGUUGAAGAACUAAGUGGAAAAGAUUUUGGGAAGGCCAAGAGUUAAGUGGGAUUGACUAAGGAAGAGGACAAGAUGCUGCGUUUCAUGCCACGCAGGUAGGCAGGCAGAGUUCGGUCCUUAGGAGCUCCACCAACAGUACACCGAGAACGCUCCAGUUGUUUCGGAGCUUCAAUUUAUCGGUACUACUUUUGUGUAUAAAUUUGGGCACGGCAGAAACCGGCCCUCUUUGUGGUCAUAUGUAUCUUGUUUAGAGGCUCGUAGAUAGAUAUGUACAGCUAGAUGUUUUGCAACUUUAUUCGUCGCGGUGUAAUAUGUUAGCAAAGUCUGUUGACGCAUGUUUAUAAUUAUGCUAAUGACAAUGGUAUCA
Long non-coding RNA from Solanum dulcamara, 601 nucleotides. RefSeq lists it as uncharacterized. The record is from RefSeq and is a predicted model, not a curated record. The transcript has 3 exons. Lineage: Eukaryota; Viridiplantae; Streptophyta; Magnoliopsida; Solanales; Solanaceae.